GACGAACGCUGGCGGCGUGCUUAACACAUGCAAGUCGAACGGAAAGGCCCUGCUUUUGUGGGGUGCUCGAGUGGCGAACGGGUGAGUAACACGUGAGUAACCUGCCCUUGACUUUGGGAUAACUUCAGGAAACUGGGGCUAAUACCGGAUAGGAGCUCCUGACUGCAUGGUGGGGGUUGGAAAGUUUCGGCGGUUGGGGAUGGACUCGCGGCUUAUCAGCUUGUUGGUGGGGUAGUGGCUUACCAAGGCUUUGGCGGGUAGCCGGCCUGAGAGGGUGACCGGCCGCAUUGGGACUGAGAUACGGCCCAG
RNAcentral lists this ribosomal RNA (309 nucleotides) under uncultured bacterium. RNAcentral describes it as "bacterial SSU rRNA". It matches the Rfam family "Bacterial small subunit ribosomal RNA", at positions 28 to 334 of the family's 1533-position model. The record is from RNAcentral.